AAAAGCUCGUAGUUGGAUUUCUGCGGGGACGGAGCGGCCGGACGCAACUUGCGUCUCGAGCUAGCGCUUUCCCCGCAUCCUGCCGCGAACCGUGCUACCAUUAGUUUGGUGGCGCUGGGGAUCGGCUCGAUUACUUUGAGAAAAAUAGAGUGUUCAAAGCAGGCCACACGCCUUGAAUAAGUUAGCAUGGAAUAAUGACUAAGGACUUUGGUUCUUUUCGUUGGUGUUCGGGACUGAAGUAAUGAUUGAUAGGGACAGUUGGGGCGGUCUGUAUUCCAAAGCGAGAGGUGAAAUUCUUAGACCUUCGGAAGACAAACAGCUGCGAAAGCGUUCCGCAAGGAUGUUCCCUUUGAUCAAGAACGAAAGUUGGGGGAUCGAAGACGAUCAGAUACCGUCGUAGUCUCAACUAUAAACUAUACCAGCUAGGGAUCGGCCAACGUUUAAUUAUUCGACUUGGUCGGCACCUUAUGAGAAAUCAAAGCAUCUGGGUUCCGGGGGGAGUAUGGUCGCAAGGCUGAAACUUAAAGGAAUUGACGGAAGGGCACCACCAGGCGUGGAGCCUGUGGCUUAAUUUGACUCAACACGGGAAAACUUACCAGGUCCAGACAUAGGAAGGAUUGACAGAUUGAUAGCUCUUUCUUGAUUCUGUGGGUGGUGGUGCAUGGCCGUUUUUAGUCGGUGAAGUGAUUUGUCUGCUUAAUUGCGUUAACGGACGAGACCCCAGCCUGCUAAAUAGCGCGGCCGAGCUUUGCUCGGUGCGAGCUUCUUAGAGGGACCAUGAUGCGCGAUAGCACAAGGAAGUUUGGGGCAACAACAGGUCUGUGAUGCCCUUAGAUGUUC
RNAcentral lists this ribosomal RNA (840 nucleotides) under uncultured marine eukaryote. RNAcentral describes it as "SSU rRNA". It matches the Rfam family "Eukaryotic small subunit ribosomal RNA", at positions 622 to 1482 of the family's 1831-position model. The record is from RNAcentral.